RNAcentral lists this ribosomal RNA (773 nucleotides) under fungal sp. RNAcentral's name for it is "SSU rRNA". It matches the Rfam family "Eukaryotic small subunit ribosomal RNA", at positions 328 to 1100 of the family's 1831-position model. The record is from RNAcentral. Lineage: Eukaryota; Fungi.
GUAGGAUAGAGGCCUACCAUGGUUUUAACGGGUAACGGGGAAUUAGGGUUCGAUUCCGGAGAGGGAGCCUGAGAAACGGCUACCACAUCCAAGGAAGGCAGCAGGCGCGCAAAUUACCCAAUCCCGACACGGGGAGGUAGUGACAAUAAAUAACAAUACGGGGCUCAUUUGGGUCUCGUAAUUGGAAUGAGUACAAUUUAAAUCCCUUAACGAGGAACAAUUGGAGGGCAAGUCUGGUGCCAGCAGCCGCGGUAAUUCCAGCUCCAAUAGCGUAUAUUAAAGUUGUUGCAGUUAAAAAGCUCGUAGUUGAACUUCGGAAUUUAUUCAUUGGUCAGACUUAACUGUCUGUACUGGUGUUAUGGAUUUCUACCUUCUGAGGAAUUAUCAUGCCAUUUAGUUGGUGUGGUAGGGAAUCAGGACUGUUACUUUGAAAAAAUUAGAGUGUUUAAAGCAGGCUAACGUCUGAGUACAUUAGCAUGGAAUAAUAGAAUAUGACGGAUUGGUUCUAUUUUGUUGGUUUCUAGGAUCACCGUAAUGAUUAAUAGGGAUAGUUGGGGGCAUUAGUAUUCAAUUGUCAGAGGUGAAAUUCUUGGAUUUAUUGAAGACUAACUACUGCGAAAGCAUUUGCCAAGGAUGUUUUCAUUAAUCAAGAACGAAAGUUAGGGGAUCGAAGACGAUCAGAUACCGUCGUAGUCUUAACCAUAAACUAUGCCGACUAGGGAUCGGAUGAUGUUGAUUUUUUAAUGACUCAUUCGGCGCCUUACGGGAAACCA